Mytilus californianus (California mussel) is the source of this 554-nucleotide long non-coding RNA. RefSeq lists it as uncharacterized. The transcript has 3 exons. Lineage: Eukaryota; Metazoa; Mollusca; Bivalvia; Mytilida; Mytilidae. The record is from RefSeq and is a predicted model, not a curated record.
CUUGUUGUGACCUUGAACUUGAAGAUGCAGAGAUGCUGAAUGAAAACUUGUCAGUACGACAGUAGCCUGUUGUUGAAAUGAUUUCAAUUUAUAUAUAUGAUUGACAUAUCCAUAGGACAUGCAGUUAGCCUAGACAAAUAGGAAGAGAAAGGUCUCUGAUUUAAUUCUCUGUGAAGUUCAAGGUCUUUCUUAGUCUAAAUAUGGGAAGAUUUGAAAGGAUACAUAGAAAUCUUGGAGGAAAAAUUGACUUGAGUCUUAAAAGACACAGAUAUGAAGAUAAACAAGAGGAAAAGAAUGCCAAACAUAGUUUAAAGGACUGCAUACUUCCUGAUAUCUUUCAAAUUAUUGUGUCUUUUUGGUAUAAAUGUAAUAAUGCAAUAUCAUCUUAUUUGUAUAGGCAUGUAUACAUCCUGCAAAUCUUGUUGGUACCUUUUAGCUCCUUUUAAUGCAACCACUAUUUAUAAAACAUUGUCCUGAUUGUAUUUCUAUAUGUGAGUUUAUUAGUUAACUAGCGCUUGCCGCGUAGUAAUUGCAUAUAUAUGCAUUAUUAAAUA